RNAcentral lists this ribosomal RNA (460 nucleotides) under uncultured bacterium. RNAcentral's name for it is "partial 16S ribosomal RNA". It matches the Rfam family "Bacterial small subunit ribosomal RNA", at positions 338 to 795 of the family's 1533-position model. The record is from RNAcentral.
CCUACGGGAGGCAGCAGUGAGGAAUAUUGGUCAAUGGGCGUAAGCCUGACCCAGCCAAGUCGCGUGAGGGAUGAAGGUUCUAUGGAUCGUAAACCUCUUUUAUAAGGGAAUAAGGUGCGGGACGUGUCCCGUUUUGUAUGUACCGUAUGAAUAAGGAUCGGCUAACUCCGUGCCAGCAGCCGCGGUAAUACGGAGGAUCCGAGCGUUAUCCGGAUUUAUUGGGUUUAAAGGGUGCGUAGGCGGUCUUUUAAGUCAGGGGUGAAAUUCUGUGGCUCAACCAUGGAACUGCCGUUGAAACUGGGAGGCUUGAGUAUGUGUGAGGCAGGCGGAAUGCGUGGUGUAGCGGUGAAAUGCUUAGAUAUCACGCAGAACCCCGAUUGCGAAGGCAGCCUGCCAGGCCAUGACUGACGCUGAUGCACGAAAGCGUGGGGAUCAAACAGGAUUAGAUACCCGAGUAGUC